GGGACCAUAGUUUAGUGGUAGAGCACAAGCUUUGCAAGCAUGAGGUCUCAGGUUCAAUACCCAGCAUCUCU
Molecule: non-coding RNA, 71 nt
Organism: Phrynosoma platyrhinos (Desert horned lizard)
Lineage: Eukaryota; Metazoa; Chordata; Lepidosauria; Squamata; Phrynosomatidae
Source: the annotation of a GenBank genome assembly